RNAcentral lists this unclassified non-coding RNA (1009 nucleotides) under Hevea brasiliensis (rubber tree). The record is from RNAcentral. Lineage: Eukaryota; Viridiplantae; Streptophyta; Magnoliopsida; Malpighiales; Euphorbiaceae.
GGUGUGUGAGGGAGUGCGGCUUAGUUCUCAGUAACCAUGGGUAUCUCACGAGACUCUAUGCACAAAAGGCGCGCCACCGGUGGCAAGCAGAAAACAUGGAGGAAGAAGCGAAAGUACGAGCUUGGCCGUCAGCCUGCUAAUACUAAGAUCUCUAGUAACAAGACAGUCAGACGCAUUCGUGUUCGUGGUGGCAAUGUUAAAUGGAGGGCACUAAGAUUGGAUACAGGAAAUUAUUCAUGGGGUAGCGAAGCUACCACCCGUAAGACUCGUAUCCUUGACGUGGUCUAUAAUGCCUCAAACAAUGAACUUGUUCGUACACAAACACUGGUCAAGAGUGCAAUUAUUCAAGUUGAUGCUGCACCAUUUAAACAAUGGUACCUCCAGCAUUAUGGUGCUGACAUUGGUAGGAAGAAGAAGGGGGCCGCUAAGAAGGAUACUACUGAGGAAGGAGAAGCUGCUGCUCCCGAGGAAACUAAGAAGAGCAACCAUGUUCAGAGGAAAAUUGAGAAUCGCCAAAAGGACCGUACACUUGAUCCUCACCUUGAAGAGCAAUUUGGUGGUGGUAGGCUUUUGGCCUGCAUCUCUUCACGCCCUGGUCAAUGUGGCAGAUGUGAUGGGUACAUUUUGGAGGGAAAAGAGCUUGAGUUCUACAUGAAGAAACUACAGAAGAAGAAAGGCAAAAGUGGAGCUGGUGCUGCUGCUUAACUGGUGCAAUCAGACUAGUUUCAUAUGGUUCUCUAUUGUUGUAAUUCCAAUUUUGGGGAUAUGUGAUUUUGUAUUCAGUACCUUUUAUUUUCUCUCUUGUACUCUUGCCAAAUUUUAGUAUGAUCUCCUUGACUACUACUCUUUAGCAUUAUCAGUUUUUCCAUGGUCAGUCCCACUUUCUCUUGAAGGUUUUGUGAAUUAAGUGGGAAUGAUAUUCAUGGUCAGUUUUGUCUGGUGGAGUGGUUUCCUGCAUUGCUAUUUAAUAGAGCAGUGUGAUUAAAUGUUGCCAUAAUGAGAGUUUUUU